GCUACCUUCUUAAACUCAUCCCUCACAUGUUCUAAAAAAUGAAGUACAGCUGAGUUUCCAAGACCUUCAUCAACAAUUAUAAAAUAAACAUAACCGUCUUCUAUCAAAAACCCAAAAGUCCUCUUGCCAAUUGUCUCAAAAUACCACUUGUGAUACGCAGGAAUCCUUUCCAAUGACAAGGCUGCCAAAUUCUCAAUCUCAUCAUCACCCCCACUAUACACAUACAAGUUCCGAUUACCCCUAAAUACACAACAAUAAUGAACAGUAUUUUGAAUUGAACCCAUCUUGCUAAGACCUAGUUUAGAAAGUUUUCACAUCAAGAACUUUUCUACACACCACCAAAUAACUAAAACUCUACAAUUGGGUUUUAUAUCAAUAUCAACCAGCCAAAGAACAUAUUAGGUGAAUCUAAGAGACCAAGAUUUGGAAGAAGA
This 434-nucleotide unclassified non-coding RNA is filed under the name Hevea brasiliensis (rubber tree). The record is from RNAcentral. Lineage: Eukaryota; Viridiplantae; Streptophyta; Magnoliopsida; Malpighiales; Euphorbiaceae.